GGGCGCGGGGCGGCGCGGAGCCUGCCCGGGGUGAGGACGGGGAGGGAGGUGGGGCCCGACCUGUCCGCGGAGGAGCACGGAGUUUGCCACCUGGGUUUCUGGGCUGACUGUUGGACCGUUGGUUGUUUGGCUGGGAAGUUCAAGCUCAUGUCACAUUUAUUUGUUGGAAAAGUAUGUAGGGGCGAUUCCUCGUCCUUCCCUAGAUGAGAGAUUCCUCGUCCUUCCCUAGAUGAGAGAUUCCUCGUCCUUCCCUAGAUGAGAGAUUCGUCCUCUGUAAGAGGAGGGAGUCUGACCUGUAUCUUCAAGGCUCCUUAGCUCUAAAGUUUGUGAUUCUAUCCUAGUUUACAAAAGAAAAAUAAAUGCUAUUGGCAUUAGAAAGCAGCAAGAAAGACGCCAAGUGUGGUUCAAGGACAUUGGCUCAGGCCUUGCUGGGCCUUGUUCCUCACAUUUCUCCAAUCCUGGGGGUGCCGGGGAGGCCUGAUACAUUUUGACAAAGGAUGAGCAAGGGGAAUGGGGACUCUGGGGCAGGGGCGGGAUCCUUGCCGUUAAGGGAAUAGUGUCCCCUCUUCUCCCACCGGAAAAGUUGUUCACAGCCUGGAACUUUGGGACUUUUGGGUCUGACACAUAAACAGGUCAUACUUAAGAUUAUGAAACUUUUUUUUUGGCGACAGAGUCACACUUUGUGGCCUAGGACGGAGUGCAGUGGCAUGAUCUUGGCUCACUGCAACCUCUACCUCCCAGGAGAAUCGCUUGAACCCUGGAGGUGGAGGUUGCAGUGAGCCGAGAUUGCACCAUUGCACUCCACUCCAGCCUGGGCAAAAAGAGCCAAACUUCAAAAAAAAAAAAAAGAAAAAGAAAAAGAAAUGUGGGCUUCCAUACUAUUGGAAAACUUCAGUGAGUCUUAGGGAAGUGUUGUGUACACAGACCACGUGAAUCAUGGGAGGAUUUUCAAUCUCCCACCCCAGAUUUUUAAUCCUGGAAGCUUCUGAGAUUCCCAUCCAGGACUGCUGAAGCAGAAUCACCAAGAGUGGGACCAACUUGCAUAGAGUAUUUAAUUUCCCCCUGGUGAUUUGGAUGCUAUAAUUAAAGGGUUUUAUCUGAGACCAUGAAGAAGAAGAGAUGUUUGGAGCUUAUUCAAAUCUGAAGCAUAAGAAAAGCCUUCCUAUUGCUGGAAAGACUAUGGGAAGCUGGACACCUUCCAAAAACCUGGGAGAACCGAAUUUUCACGAUGCAUGUCCAAAGAAAGGGUUUCAGGCCAGGUUGCAUGGCUUCCCUCCUCACUUGAAGGACUGGGUACACAGACAGAUCUCCAGUUCGAAUCUGCACUUCCUCUGAUCACCUGAAGAAUGGUUUAUUUCCCGCUUCUCUUUGUCACUGUUUUGCCAUGAUUGUUGCAACCGUGAAAGAAAAUAUGUGUCCUUGCUUUUUGCUCUCAUUGGCAUCCUAAAAUAAAUACAGCUCUAUUUA
Molecule: non-coding RNA, 1467 nt
Organism: Callithrix jacchus (white-tufted-ear marmoset)
Lineage: Eukaryota; Metazoa; Chordata; Mammalia; Primates; Cebidae
Source: RefSeq, a predicted model, not a curated record